GCUUGUCGGCAUAAGUGAGAGACAUGAGUACCAACAUAACGCCACAAAAAAUUCGAAAUUCGAAUAUAGGAUGUGUUCGUUCAGUAAAUAUUGUUGCAUUGUAACUUUUUUAAGAAAGCAUCACGUUCGCCGCGAAAAUUUCGGCAACAGUGGCAACGUCACACGUUCGUGCAAGAAAAUGUUAUCAAUCUGUUGCUCAUCACUAGCCAAUCAAACGCAACACAAAAAAAAAUUCUGCGCAUUUGAAAUAGAGGACGAAAUAAUAAAAUUAAGUUCAGCUGAGUCCAAAUUGUUGGUCAGGUGUCGACUGGACAUGGAGCAAGAGUUUUCUUGCGGCAAAAGAAAAAAAUCGGUUCUUUGGGGCAAAGUGUUGGACAAUAUAAAGACUGAAGCUCCUGAUUUAACUGCGACAAAAUAGCAACUCUAAAGAAAAUUCUUCAAAUGCUAGCAACUUACAAAAGAAUAAAAAAGCGGAAUAGAUCAACAGGUAGAGAUGCAACCACUUGGGAUUUUUUUAAUGAUUUUGAUGAAGUUUACAUUCAGUUGAUCCUCCAUCUGAAAACCUACAAAACUCAUUAGAUCUUCCAAGCUGCUCGACUGCAGAACACAUAAGAGCAAACGAAAUGUGCCGAGAGGACAAUGAUGUUGUGGAGAGUGUCUCAGACGUAAGGGGAAACCAGCAAAAUUUCGCUAAAAACAAACUCACAGUAUCGGGAAAUGAAACGUUGGAAUUUUUAAAAAAGGAAUCGGAAGAAGAAAAAGUCCGGCAUAGAGAAGUGAUGACGUUUGAAAAAAAAGAAAAGGCUAAAAUAAUGCUAAGAUUAAAAGAAGUGCUGGAUAAAUUUUUGCAAAAGUAACAUUUGCAAGUAUUUAGCUACAAAUUUGAUGAAAAGAAAAUCAGUUUUCUUAACCAUAGUUUUAAUUCAUUUAUUAAAUACAAUGCUGUGAAUAUA
This is a long non-coding RNA of Bactrocera dorsalis (oriental fruit fly), 953 nucleotides long. RefSeq lists it as uncharacterized. The record is from RefSeq and is a predicted model, not a curated record. Lineage: Eukaryota; Metazoa; Arthropoda; Insecta; Diptera; Tephritidae. The transcript is spliced from 2 exons.